AUAGAUUGAUCACUAUCUUUUAUGAAGAUCUUUUGAUCUAAAGUAUUUAGGAACUAACCACUAAUAAAUGUAUGUCUCAAAUUCUAAAUGCUUUGAGAAUAUAUAAAAAAUUAUUUUUGUUAAUUUUUAGAAUAAAUCAUAGACAUAUAAACAUAUUUGAAAUGAAAAAGUUCUUUAUUGAUAAUAAAAAUAUUAUAAAUAUA
RNAcentral lists this long non-coding RNA (203 nucleotides) under Elaeis guineensis (African oil palm). Its description in RNAcentral is "long non-coding RNA (EGUI_LNC002841)". Lineage: Eukaryota; Viridiplantae; Streptophyta; Magnoliopsida; Arecales; Arecaceae. The record is from RNAcentral.